GUGAAUCAUCAAAUUUUUGAACGCAAAUUGCACUCUCUUCGGAGAGUAUGCCUGUUUGAGGGUCAGCCUAAAAAAAAAAAUCGACAUAGUCGUUGUUUCGCGGUGCCAUUCGUCGGAAAUUGGGUCAUUUUAAACUUUUGGGUUUUAAGGGGUUUAAAAUUUUUUUUUGGAUUCCACGAACGUUUCUAGAAUUUAUUUUUUACACUUUA
This 209-nucleotide unclassified non-coding RNA is filed under the name Glomus sp. Its description in RNAcentral is "partial contains 5.8S ribosomal RNA and internal transcribed spacer 2". The stretch from base 1 to 65 matches the Rfam family "5.8S ribosomal RNA", at positions 84 to 154 of the family's 154-position model. The record is from RNAcentral. Lineage: Eukaryota; Fungi; Glomeromycota; Glomeromycetes; Glomerales; Glomeraceae.